UACGGGGGGAGCAAGCGUUGUUCGGAUUUACUGGGCGUAAAGGGCGCGUAGGCGGUCGUGACAAGUCACUUGUGAAAUCUCCGGGCUUAACUCGGAACGGUCAAGUGAUACUGUCGGACUAGAGUACAGAAGGGGCAACUGGAAUUCUCGGUGUAGCGGUGAAAUGCGUAGAUAUCGAGAGGAACACCUACGGCGAAGGCGGGUUGCUGGGCUGACACUGACGCUGAGGCGCGAAAGCUAGGGGAGCGAACGGG
RNAcentral lists this ribosomal RNA (254 nucleotides) under uncultured bacterium. RNAcentral describes it as "partial 16S ribosomal RNA". It matches the Rfam family "Bacterial small subunit ribosomal RNA", at positions 524 to 776 of the family's 1533-position model. The record is from RNAcentral.